UACGGGGGGGGCAAGCGUUGUUCGGAAUUACUGGGCGUAAAGGGCUCGUAGGCGGCCAACUAAGUCGGAUGUGAAAUCCCCAGGCUUAACCUGGGAACUGCAUCCGAUACUGGAUGGCUUGAAUUCGGGAGAGGGAUGCAGAAUUCCAGGUGUAGCGGUGAAAUGCGUAGAUAUCGGGAGGAACACCAGUGGCGAAGGCGACUACCUGGCCUGUUCUUGACGCUGAGGCGCGAAAGCUAGGGGAGCAAACGGG
Molecule: ribosomal RNA, 253 nt
Filed under: uncultured bacterium
Lineage: Bacteria
Description: partial 16S ribosomal RNA
Rfam family: Bacterial small subunit ribosomal RNA
Source: RNAcentral